GGAGAGAUGCCAGAGUGGCCGAAUGGGACAGACUCGAAAUCUGUUGUACCACAUGUGGUACCGUGGGUUCGAAUCCCACUCUCUCCG
RNAcentral lists this transfer RNA (87 nucleotides) under Candidatus Ichthyocystis hellenicum. RNAcentral's name for it is "bacterium 2013Arg42i tRNA". It matches the Rfam family "tRNA". From Rfam's summary of the family: Transfer RNA (tRNA) molecules are approximately 80 nucleotides in length. Their secondary structure includes four short double-helical elements and three loops (D, anti-codon, and T loops). Further hydrogen bonds mediate the characteristic L-shaped molecular structure. tRNAs have two regions of fundamental functional importance: the anti-codon, which is responsible for specific mRNA codon recognition, and the 3' end, to which the tRNAs corresponding amino acid is attached (by aminoacyl-tRNA synthetases). tRNAs cope with the degeneracy of the genetic code in two manners: having more than one tRNA (with a specific anti-codon) for a particular amino acid; and 'wobble' base-pairing, i.e. permitting non-standard base-pairing at the 3rd anti-codon position. Lineage: Bacteria; Pseudomonadati; Pseudomonadota; Betaproteobacteria; Burkholderiales. The record is from Rfam by way of RNAcentral.